This 271-nucleotide ribosomal RNA is filed under the name uncultured Bacteriovorax sp. Its description in RNAcentral is "partial 16S ribosomal RNA". It matches the Rfam family "Bacterial small subunit ribosomal RNA", at positions 595 to 864 of the family's 1533-position model. The record is from RNAcentral. Lineage: Bacteria; Pseudomonadati; Bdellovibrionota; Bacteriovoracia; Bacteriovoracales; Bacteriovoracaceae.
UGAAAUCUCGGGGCUCAACCUCGAAACUGCGUCUGAAACUACAGGUCUAGAAUCUUGGAGGGGGAAGGGGAAUUUCGCAUGUAGGGGUAAAAUCCGUAGAUAUGCGAAGGAACACCAGAGGCGAAGGCGCCUUCCUGGACAAGUAUUGACGCUGAGGCGCGAAAGCGUGGGGAUCAAACAGGAUUAGAUACCCUGGUAGUCCACGCUGUAAACGAUGAACACUAGGUAUUGGAGGCUUUGACCCCUUCAGUGCCGUAGCUAACGCGUUAAG